UACGUAGGGUGCAAGCGUUGUCCGGAAUCAUUGGGCGUAAAGCGCGCGUAGGUGGCUUCGUAAGUCCGUUGUGAAAGUCAAAGGCUCAACCUUUGAAUGCCGAUGGAUACUGCGAAGCUAGAGUACGGAGGAGGCGAGUGGAAUUCCUGGUGUAGCGGUGGAAUGCGCAGAUAUCAGGAGGAACACCAAUAGCGAAGGCAGCUCGCUGGGACGUUACUGACACUAAGGCGCGAAAGCGUGGGGAGCGAACAGG
Molecule: ribosomal RNA, 253 nt
Filed under: uncultured bacterium
Lineage: Bacteria
Description: partial 16S ribosomal RNA
Rfam family: Bacterial small subunit ribosomal RNA
Source: RNAcentral